Camelus dromedarius (Arabian camel) is the source of this 2599-nucleotide long non-coding RNA. RefSeq lists it as uncharacterized. The transcript has 3 exons. Lineage: Eukaryota; Metazoa; Chordata; Mammalia; Artiodactyla; Camelidae. The record is from RefSeq and is a predicted model, not a curated record.
UUGAGGGCACUAGUCCACUGUCUUCUUGGUCUGCUGGCUUUCUGAAUAAAGUUGCUAUGCCUUGCCCCAACACCUCAUCUCUCGAUUUAUUGGCCUGUUGGGCUACAAGCAGUAUGAACUUGGACUUGGUAAUGAAUUUUGCAAAGCCAGCCCAGAGGCUUGGGGCUCACGGCCAGCUGGCCCCUGUUGGGGAAUUUUUGGGUAAGGCCCUAGCAGCUGCCAGGACCACUUGUUCUGAGGAUCUUCCCUUCAGAUUUCCCCAAAGCAGCACUGGCUGCCCCAGCGCUUGGCAGUUGAAGCAAGAAACUGAUGUCUGGGAGUUAAGCAGCUCCCUAUAGUAGGGCUUGUUUAAUUGGCAACCCUCGUUACCAGGACGAUCGUCUAGAUACCCAGAACAUGAUCCCUGAGAAGGCCAGAUAUACGCCUAGGAGUGGAACUGCUGGGCCAUAUGGUGGUUCUAUUUUUAGGUUUUUGAGAAACCUCCAUAUUGUUUUCCAUGGUGGCUGCACCAAUUUACAUCCCCACCAACAGUGUACAAGGGUUUCCUUCACAUCCUUUCCAACAUUUGUUAUUUGUGUUCUUUUUGAUGGUGGCCAUUCUGACAGGUGUGAAAUGGAGUCUCAUUGUGAUUCUGAUUUGCAUUUCCCUGAUAUUAGUGAUGUUGAGCAACUUUUCAUGUUCCUGUCGGCCGUCUGCAUUUCCUCUUUUGGAAAAAUGUCUGUGCAGUUCUUCUGCCCAUAUUUUAAAUGGGUUGGUUGGUUGCUUGCUUUUUAUUGAAGUACAGUUGAUUUAAAAUGUUGUAUUAGUUUGUGGUGUACAGCUUGGAUGGACUUGGAGGGCGUUAUGCUAAGAGAAAGAAGUCAGAGAAAGACAAAUACUGUAAGAUAUCACGUACAUGUGGAAUCUAAAACAUACAUAACAAACUAGUGAAUAUAACAGAAAAGAAACAGACUCACAGAAGUAGAGAAGGAACUGGUGGUUACCAGUGGGGAAGAGGGAGGGGCAAGAUGGAGGGGGAGGAUUAAGAGGUACAAACUGUCAGGCAUAAAAUAAGCUACAAGGAUGUGCUGUCCAACAUGGGGAAUAGAGCCAAUAUUUUAUAAUAAAUACAAAUGGAAUAUAAUCUUUAAAAAUUUUGUGAAUCACUAUAUCGUAUACCUGUAACAUACAGUAUUGUACAUCAACUAUACUUCAAUUUAAAAAUAUGAUAUUGUAAAAUAAAUACAUACAUUUAAAAAUGGUAUUAAAAAAAGAAGAUGAAAAUGAAACGCCACUUUUCUGGCAUCUGGUACGGAGGAAGGGAAAAAGAUUGCCCCAGGUUAAAACAUAAGGAAAACAAUAAAAGACAAAGCAAUGAGACAAUAAAUAAAUUUAAAAAUAUAUAAAUAAGAGACAAAACAAUGAGAGCCUCGCCUGUGGUAGAAAGAGAGGAACAUCCUGGUGCCCUAUUCAAAUUUCCCCACAGGAGCCCUGGGGGAAAAUUGACAAUGACAAAUAAACUUUACUCAAAUGCCUCAAGGUACAGGAAAUUUCAGAUACCUGCUAGCGUUCCUGGACACUUUCUCAGGAUGGGUGGAGGCAUAUCCCACCCCGACAGAAAAAGGUCUCCUAAGUGGUGAAAGCACUCCUUCAGGAAAUUAUUCCCCGAUUUAGACUGCCUAACGCUCUUCAAAGUGACAGUGGGUCUGUUUUUGUCUCCAGUAAAACCAAACAGAGAUCUAAAGCACUGCAAGUUAAUUGAAAAUGAUCCUCAACCUGGAGACCACAAUCAAUCACGGUCAACAGGAAAAAACAAGAAAAUAAAUCAUAUGUUAAAAAGAAGAAUUGCUGUGUUCGUGUCAGCAGCACAUAUGGUAAAAUUGGAAUGAUACAGAGAAGAUGAGCGCGGCCUCUGUGCAAGGAUGGCACGCAAAUUUGGGAAGCGUUGCAUUACAAAAAAAAAAAAAAGGAGGAGGGGGUUUAGGAUGCAUGAGGUCCUGGGUUCAAUCCCCAGUACCUCCUCCAAAAAAAAAAAAUGAAACCUGAUUAACUCCCUCUCCCCUCAAAAAGAAAAAAAAAAGGAGCAUUGCUAAAAUAUGUCAAGAGACUAACUUGGGAUAAAUUGCAAGUUGCCCUGCUACAGAUUAGAGUGGUUCCCCAGAAGCAGGCUUAAAUUAAAUUGCAAUUGCCAAUGAUGUUAAAAAUUUGCACACCACAGUAAUUUCUGUUUUGAGUUUGCCUCCAACAGGUCUGCCUAUUCAACUGAAGUAGCCUUAUAUCCUUUCUGACCUGGAGACCAAGUCCUUCUUAAAAACCUGGAGAGAACAAGGAACUGAACAUCAGCUGAUUGCAACGUGGACAGGACCAUGCACUCAUCUUGUCAAGCCAUCUGGGGUGAAGCCAUGGAUUCAUCACAGUUGGAUUAAAGCAGCAUCACCAUCAUCAGAAAAUGACCCAACUCCUGAAAAGCCUGGGGAACAAUGGGUUUGUGAACCCUUAGAAGACACAAGAUUGCUCUUAAAAAUAAUAAGUAGAGGGGGAAAAUUAUAACUACUUUAAAAUUUUUUUGUUUCAACUUCUUGCUUCUAGAAUAUAAAAUACAAUUAUUUUUCUAUAUCAA